This 774-nucleotide ribosomal RNA is filed under the name uncultured Neocallimastigales. RNAcentral describes it as "partial large subunit ribosomal RNA". It matches the Rfam family "Eukaryotic large subunit ribosomal RNA", at positions 24 to 646 of the family's 3401-position model. The record is from RNAcentral. Lineage: Eukaryota; Fungi; Neocallimastigomycota; Neocallimastigomycetes; Neocallimastigales.
GUAGUCUCGCACAGAUGCAUAUCAAUAAGCGGAGGAAAAGAAACUAACAAGGAUUCCCCUAGUAACGGCGAGUGAAGCGGGAAGAGCUCAAAUUUGAAAUCUUAAAGGGUUUCCCUUUACGAAUUGUAGUUUAAAGAAGUGUUUUCUGUUGAGGUUUUGGUAAAAGUUCUUUGGAAUAGGACAUCAUAGAGGGUGAGAAUCCCGUAUUUGACCUUUACUUUCAACUUUGUGAUACACUUUCAAAGAGUCGGAUUGUUUGGGAAUGCAGUCCAAAAUGGGUGGUAAAUUUCAUCUAAAGCUAAAUAUUGGCGAGAGACCGAUAGCGAACAAGUACCGUGAGGGAAAGAUGAAAAGAACUUUGAAAAGAGAGUUAAACAGUACGUGAAAUUGUCAAAAGGGAAGCGUUUGACACCAGUGUUGUUUUUCUGAAAAUCAAUUAAAGAACUGUUUAUGCUAAGUUGUUUAGACUUUAUCAGCUAACUGUUUAGUUUUGAGCUUUUCUUUAAUGCACUUUUCAGUUAACAAGUCAACAUCAAUUUCUUUUGCUGUAAAAAAGCUUGAGGAAGGUGGCUUGAGAUUCGUCUUAAGUGUUUAUAGCCUCUUGCCUAUGCAGUCGGAGAGAUUGAGGUCUGCAGCGUAGAUCCUUCGGGGCUAAAUGCAUUUGUGCUAAGUUAUAACAUUUUAUAGACAACUUGUUGACUAUGAUUUGUCUUGUAGCUUACUCGCUUAUGUUAUUUUACCUACGCUUAGGAUGUUGAUCUGUAGUGCGUGCGC